GCCAGGCAUAGUGGCUUAUGCCUGUAAUCCCGGUGACUUGGUAGGCUGAGGCAGGAGGAUCACAAAUUUGAGGUCAGCCUCAGCAAAUUAGAGAGGCUCUAAGCAACUUGAGAUCUUGUCUCAA
RNAcentral lists this small RNA (124 nucleotides) under Marmota monax (woodchuck). The record is from RNAcentral. Lineage: Eukaryota; Metazoa; Chordata; Mammalia; Rodentia; Sciuridae.